ACGCUAGCGGGAGGCCUAACACAUGCAAGCCGAGCGGUAGAAGAUCUUCGGAUCUUUGAGAGCGGCGCACGGGUGCGGAACACGUGUGCAACCUACCUUUAUCAGGGGGAUAGCCUUUCGAAAGGAAGAUUAAUACCCCAUAAUAUAUUGAAUGGCAUCAUUUAAUAUUGAAAACUCCGGUGGAUAGAGAUGGGCACGCGCAAGAUUAGAUAGUUGGUGAGGUAACGGCUCACCAAGUCAAUGAUCUUUAGGGGGCCUGAGAGGGUGAUCCCCCACACUGGUACUGAGACACGGACCAGACUCCUACGGGAGGCAGCAGUGAGGAAUAUUGGACAAUGGGUGAGAGCCUGAUCCAGCCAUCCCGCGUGAAGGACGACGGCCCUAUGGGUUGUAAACUUCUUUUGUAUAGGGAUAAACCUUUCCACGUGUGGAAAGCUGAAGGUACUAUACGAAUAAGCACCGGCUAACUCCGUGCCAGCAGCCGCGGUAAUACGGAGGGUGCAAGCGUUAUCCGGAUUUAUUGGGUUUAAAGGGUCCGUAGGCGGACUCGUAAGUCAGUGGUGAAAUCUCAUAGCUUAACUAUGAAACUGCCAUUGAUACUGCGGGUCUUGAGUAAGGUAGAGGUAGCUGGAAUAAGUAGUGUAGCGGUGAAAUGCAUAGAUAUUACUUAGAACACCAAUUGCGAAGGCAGGUUACCAUGUCUUAACUGACGCUGAUGGACGAAAGCGUGGGGAGCGAAC
This 740-nucleotide ribosomal RNA is filed under the name uncultured bacterium. RNAcentral's name for it is "bacterial SSU rRNA". It matches the Rfam family "Bacterial small subunit ribosomal RNA", at positions 33 to 773 of the family's 1533-position model. The record is from RNAcentral.